CGACCAAAAACUUUAACCUGAAUGGGACAGAUGAAACGGACGGACGGAUGAACGGACGCACAGACCAGAAAACAUAAUGCCCAUAAAUGGGGCAUAAAAAGUGAUUUUUGGAAAUUGCUGCGAGACAAUGGUUUAGUUUGAAAAAUCAAAACUGUGAUUAAAUACAUAUUUGAAAUAAUACACGUCUAUAACCUAUUUGAAAUAAUGCACAUAUACAGUUGCAAACUUUCCAGAGGUGCUAUCCAGCACUUUGAUUAUAUAUC
This 263-nucleotide long non-coding RNA is filed under the name Mytilus galloprovincialis (Mediterranean mussel). Lineage: Eukaryota; Metazoa; Mollusca; Bivalvia; Mytilida; Mytilidae. The record is from RNAcentral.